Molecule: RNA transcript, 2521 nt
Organism: Platichthys flesus (European flounder)
Lineage: Eukaryota; Metazoa; Chordata; Actinopteri; Pleuronectiformes; Pleuronectidae
Gene: dazl
Gene name: deleted in azoospermia-like
Exons: 10
Source: RefSeq, a predicted model, not a curated record
CGCCUUUAGUCACCCACUUAAAAAAAAGGCGCACUAGCUGCUAGGCUAACGCUAGCCGGGGGCUAACACGGUUAUGCUAGAUCAAAGUUAGGGUUAGAUGUCAACUUCUUACCGCAAACUUUUUUUGGUUGAUGCUGCUUUCGUUAUUUCGAAGUAGCAUCUCUGUCUUUUCAGAUCUGAGCUAGCUUUCGAAAUAAUGGUAAUUGGUCAGGUUAAAAGUUAGUGAGUAAGGAUUAAGUUAACUAACUUUUUGAUGAAUUAAUUAUGAAGGAGAGGGAAGUAGAGAGAACUCACAUCCAUGAAAAGCUGCUUAGAUCCUAUCCUUAUUUCAACAGUUCAUAACAGGUUCAAGUCCUUUCACCCUCAUGAGGAGGCCUACAAGCCCAGGGGCAGACGCCAGGCUGCAUCCUCCUCCAAGUUGUCCAAUGGAUACGUCCUGCCUGAGGGAAGACUGACUCCCAACGCGCUCUUUGUCGGUGGGAUAGACAUAAAGGUGGAGGAAAAUGAAAUACGCGACUUCUUUGCAAAAUAUGGCCUAGUUAAGGAAGUGAAAAUCAUCACAUACCGUGGAGGACUCUGCAAAGGUUAUGGCUUUGUGUACUUCAAUGAAGAGGUCAACAUUCCAUCAAUCGUUGAGGAACACAUCAGCUUUAAGGGCCGGAAACUCAAGCUGGGCCCCGCAAUCAUGAAAGAAAGGAGUUCACGGUCCAUGCAAUCCUGGCCUGGCCAAGCUCAUUGGACGAGCCCCACCCAGUACUUCUACUGUGCUUGCUGCUCACCUGUAGGGGGUGGUGUGGGACAACCAUCACCCAUUCUCAACGGCGGCAGCCCCUACCCUCCGCCAUACUCCUAUUCGAACUACGGAGGAGGUGUGAUGGUCCCACAGAUGCCAAUGAACUACCCACAGAAUGUCUUUGCCUACCCGUCCACUCCAGCUCACUGGACGGCGGAUCAGAGGACACACUCUGUCAAUCAGAGCUUUGUGGACUGUGGAGUCCAGACUAUGUUGACUGUGAUGUAGUCUACUGAUACUGAGCCUCCUGCCAGGUAAAACUCCACCUCAACAAACGAGAGUGCUAUCCUGCCAGGGAUACAGCAGCUAAUGCUGUGUCAAGGGAGGCCACGAGUCUGCUGACUUGUUCACCUUUUCUCAAGCUACAGUGCUGACAGGAUGGACAGACAGACAUCUUGAUGUUCCAGACACCCAGAAUCAACCCAUCUCCCAGACUGAUUUUCAAUACGCCCUCCUCUCACCUCAAAUUCUGAGACCCAUUUUAGCACCAGACUGCGGGAGCUCCCCACUUAAACUGUACUAGUUAGAUCACAGUCACUUUAACCACGACUGGUACAGUUUGGCCUGUGCUCAGCGGCUUUUAACCCACGUCGAUCACAGCAAUAAUAGCACAGGAAGAGCAAAACCCCCUUACUGGGACCAGCAAUUGUAUGGGCUCAAGUUUGUCACUUUUUUUUGUUUUCCUCUUGAUAUUUAUCCCCGCACAAAAGAUACGAAAGACUUAUAAGUUCACCAAUUGUGCCUAUUUAUAUUUUAUGUUGUAUUUAUUUUUGGCAUAUUUUCUUUGUUUAUUUAAGCCCCUUCAGUGGCUCUCUCUACAUACAAGCUAUAUAUAUAUAUAAAAAUAUAUAGUAGUAUGCUUAGUACUAUAUGACUCAAUUUCAGGCCUAAUAAUUCUCUGCAUUCAAAUUUCAAUUAACUUGACCACUACGGCAUAAUAGCACUUCGUCAUCCAAAUUAAUUUGUCAUUCAUUUCAUGCACUCAUGUUAUCGUUAAUAUUUGGUGGGCUGAUUUUAUUCCAUUGGGUGUCAUUAGAGGUGGUAAAUGAAAGAUGCCUGAUCACCAUACUGAACCACACCUUCCAGGGUUAGUUUCACAGAGCUCGUGGCACACUGAUCAUCCUGUGUGACUCUUUUUUUCGAACCAUCUCCCACCCUGUGACCACUCCCCCUCGAAUGUUUCCAAGGGUUCCCACACAAAGACAAUCACGGCAUCAAUUAACAAUUCCUAUCACUUCAUCAAUCAGCUUUUAAAAUGGGGGGAGGGGGGAAACGUGAAAAGCAGUUUUAAUCCACUUUGAAAUGAGUGUCACUAUUUACAAUAAGUUGAUUUAUUUCAUCUGUUUGGGGCAAAAAUGUUCACAGUAAAAAAAUUGGUUUUAAUCCAGAUGCUGGUGACCUUACAUGAAGAAUUUUACUGACAGUGCGAUCAAUACUUUUUUUAUUCUUAUUCCUAUUCAUGACAUGCACGGUAUGUUUUAGGUUUUAUUUUAGGGGCACCUUUGUUUGGUUUGAGUUCACAUUGGGUGUUUGGUACAAAUCACCUGUUAUACUUUCAUAUGGGCAUUGGCUUCAUAAUCUCCUGUUUAGACAUCUGGAUUGAGUCAUAUUGUUUUGUUCAGAGAGCCUGGGCACCCCACUAUGUUUGGGUAGUUCGUGAUAUUUGUUAAUGUUCACAUUUGUGCAUGUUUGAGUUUGUAAAAAAAAAAUAAAAGUUGAAAUGUUCUC